RNAcentral lists this ribosomal RNA (215 nucleotides) under uncultured fungus. Its description in RNAcentral is "partial small subunit ribosomal RNA". The stretch from base 92 to 215 matches the Rfam family "Eukaryotic small subunit ribosomal RNA", at positions 738 to 864 of the family's 1831-position model. Lineage: Eukaryota; Fungi. The record is from RNAcentral.
GACCUGGUCGAGUGGCCCGCCUAACGGUGUGUACUGCUUGACUGGGCCUUACCUCUUGGUGAGCCGGCGUGCCCUUUAUUGGUGUGCGUCGGGGAACCAGGACUUUUACCUUGAGAAAAUUAGAGUGUUCAAAGCAGGCCUAUGCCCGAAUACAUUAGCAUGGAAUAAUAGAAUAGGACCCUGGUUCUAUUUUGUUGGUUUCUAGGACCGAGGUA